Molecule: long non-coding RNA, 6425 nt
Organism: Lagopus leucura (white-tailed ptarmigan)
Lineage: Eukaryota; Metazoa; Chordata; Aves; Galliformes; Phasianidae
Exons: 3
Source: RefSeq, a predicted model, not a curated record
AGAACGUUUGGCUACGAGCGCCUUGGUACAAUGCUCCCAUGUUUGAUACAUAUGCAACUUCCUAUUACAAAGCUGAAAAUGGUCAAGCAUUGAUGAAAACACUGUGCAGAAUUCCUAUCCUGAAUGAAGGUGCUGCUUGGAGAAGGCUUCUGCUUCUGGAGAUGACGGGAUUCAGCCUGUUCCAUGUUCACCUGGGGAGUUCUGCUGGCUGCUGCUGUCACUGCUGCCAGACUGGCGGCGGCGUCUCCUGCCUUUUAUCAGCACACUCCGGUACACCUGCAGGGAGACAAGAGCAGCACAGCACCUGUGAGUGAUGCGCAGUUGCACAGUCUGGAAGCAACAGUCUGCACCAUACAUCUGCUUUUAGAACACUGUUUGACAUCACAUUGUUUUCUAUAGGGGAAAAUGCAGGCAGCUUCCUACCUGUCAUCCAGUAGGUACUGUUGAUGGAGGUUGUAAGUGAAGAUAAGUUAAAUUACAGGUACAGAAAAAGCUUUCACUAGUGCAAGAUUUGGGUGCGACUGCUAUUUUUAAGGACAGUGGCUCUGAGAAUGCAUCAUUUAAUAUUUAUUAGAUGAUGUCAUUUAUUAAAUGCCUCAGUUCUGCUUCGGGAACGAGGAGAUUUCUAACUGUACUUACGUGACUCUUGGCUUGCGGUUGUGUCCGGUAGCAGCGCAUAAUGUUCUGGAACGACCUGUCUUCCUUUGUAACCUAAGAAUAGUCAGUAUUAGACCUCCUGUGGUAGCUUUUGGUUGUUUUCUUCCCCCACCGUUUGGUUUGCUGAGGUUGUUUUUGGGGGUUGUUAGAGCAAUCUCUGAACUACCAAGCCUUAGAAAACGUGUGUUUUUGUUCAGCUUACCUUGGCCAUUACGUAGAUGGCGCACAUCAGCAGCUGAUCCAGAUGCCUGUCCAUCAUGAUUUCAGGGCAGUGCAUCAGGGAAUACUCAAAACACGUCCAGACUUUUUUCCGCAGCUCAUCAGAUAUAUCCAGUUUGACAGAGAGAUCCCGCAGACGAACACUUGCUAAAUGAUACACCUGAUGGAAGAGAGACAGUGCAGGGACCGCGUCAGCAGUGCUUCUUAUCCAGGUUAGAGCGCAGUUUGGACAUGUGUGCUCUGUGAAACUCGUGCAGAUGAUAAGCUAAUGACAAAUACUGGAACUAUCUUCUGCUUACAAGAAACAGACACUAUUAUACUGGUACUAAUGCUAAAAAAGCAUUUUUUUUUUUAAUUCUGCAAUUCUCCAGAUUAUUUCUUCAAGAUACUCUUGAAGUACAAAAACAGCACCUAUAGAAACCUCUGUAUUGAAUAAACAAGAAUAUUUCAAAAGUGAAUUUCUUUCUUUAAGAGCCUUAAAGAAGAUGGACAUGUUUAAGCAGCUGCUAGCCACAGCUGUAAAUCUACUUCUCAGCUAGUGACAGCUGUACUGUUCAGCUACUCUGACAGUGAGAAAUUUCUGUACAGGAAACCAACCCUUCAGGUAUGCAUCUGAACAAACAAAACAUGUCAGCUUGGAAACUAAAUAUUCUCUUAUUAAUAUUAGAAGUAAGGAAAUAUUUCAGCAUCACAGAAGAGCUACCAAAAUACAAACUAAGCAGGCUAAAAAGUACCUUUCUAAAGAAGAGGGAAAGCGAGCCCAUCUUCCGGGAGCGAGCGGCUGUGGCAGUGAGGUGCUGGGCUGGCCUUGGCUCCCCAGAGGUGAUGUGCUGAACAGUGACCUGUCCUGGGAGCUGCAGCGUUGCCCCUGACACCUGAGUGCUCAGAGUGCCCGUGAGAGCCUGGGCACUGAGGGGCUGAAUGGAGCCAGAGACAGCUUGAGGCUGGGCCCCUACGUUUACCUGCACUGGGAAGAAAGUUAUUCCUCCAUUUUCAUUGGCGAUACCUGUAAUUUAAGGAAGAGUUUGACAUAAGAGCAAGGUGGGGUGGUUUGUUUAGUGUGGAUGGUUGUUUCCUGUUAGAGCUUUUUCUUAAUAGUUCAGUAACACUUAAAUUAGUUGCUUAUAGUUUGUAGCAUACUAUAGAGACAAAAUGUUUUAUGAAAGUACUUGGAACUUCUUACCAUAAGGAGACAGGAAAAUAACGGAAUUGAGCUGAUCUUUAACUGUAAUGUCACUUUCUUCCAGUUGAGGAAGCAAAGGUCACUGCAAUAACCAAGUCGCUAAUCCACAGUCAGUGAACAUCUUUGUGCCCUGUGUCUUGUCUCUAAAUUCCACUGAUACAGUUCUUCCCCACUAUAAAUUCUUAAGCCUGCUUUUCUGCUCUGGGUGUGCUGUUUUCCCCCCACCCCCUGACUGUAUACUAACAUCUGGAUAGAAAUUGGCCUCAUCUGACAGCAGCUCUUCUCUUACCUUGUACAGGAAUGGUCACAGUUUGCCCAUUGUUGGCUGUUACGGUGGCGGUUGCUACUGUAACCAAUGUCUGACCAGGCACUGGAGUUACUGACACUGCUUCAGGAUUCACGUUCUGCACAGGCACCGUAUUUACCACGGGCUGCUGGGAAACUCUGACUGGAGUUCCGUUGUCGGAGGUAUUAUCGUUAUCAACAAACAACCUUCUCCUGGUAGGGUGGGCUGUAGGAGAGCUGUAUCUGUCAUACAGGGUAGUAGGAGAAGAUGAAAUGCCUGUGGAUUUAAAAAAAACCAAAAUCUUAUUGUAAAAUCCCUUAUAAUACAAAUAGAUUUUAAAAAAUGUGAUGAGACCCCAAAUGUGACAACUGGAAGCAUUUAAAAUUAAUGUCUACAUCUGUGGCUUACAGAUUAUGAGAUGACUUGAUCUCAAAUAACACAGUGCUGAAUAUCUUUUCCUCAGAGACUGUAUUAUGCUUUAGUUCCCCAGAAAAAGCCUGAAGCCUCACAGAACUAAACAUACAUUGGAGCUUCUAAUCUGGUGUAACAAAAAAGCUGCUCAGGUGCUACUGAUCAGAACAGAUGUACUUAAACACAUACAUGUGUGUACACAGAUGUCCUUUGUAGAUAUAAGCUCCUGAAACCAGUGACAGAGGACUGUUUUGAUCUGAAAUAACGAAUGUUUCUGUCUUAGACAACUGAUGCGACUAUGCAAGUUACAACAGAAAUAGCAUUUACAAGUGCCUAAUUCAUGCACAAUUGUACAUAAACCACUAGAGCAGCUUCCUUCUGUACGCCAUUCAGAUUUGUAAAUACAGGGCAUGGUGUAAGAGUGAUAAAUACACUGUGCUUAAAAAACAGCUCACCUUUUCCCAGGCCUCCGGUUUCAGCUCGGACCUCAUUUAGUCGUCUUGGUGUCAGUGGAGAACCCACAACACUGUUGGCAGCAGAUCUCUCAAAAUACUGAGGUGGCAUGACCUGAAAUAGUUGUACUGUUAUUAGUGUGUCUGUGGCACAAAUGAUUUUUAGAACUACCAGUCUAUGAAUGUUGAACAGUGAAACUAUACGGAGGAAAAGAAAAAUGAAGAACAUUGAAAAAUUACUGUAAACUUAACUUUAAAACUUCGUAAUGAUUGUACUACUCUAGAAAAUACAAUCCUGUAAUAAUCAUUCUGUGACUGUAAUUAAGAGUCUGUUCUUAACCAGACUCCUGUAGCAGUCUUCUCAAGUGUGACUGUUUCAUACCUCCUCUGUGUUCAUUAUUCACUGUGCUCCUACUCUAAGCAAACACGGGGUGAGAAUCACAUCAGCUGGAUGCCUGUGUUUGGACAUCUCUGCAGUGGUAACAGGUCACACACAAACACAUGCAGCUCUUUCUCUGCCCCGCUUAGCUUGUAGGGAGAAACUGAACUCUGGGCAUACAAUGCUGAUGUCCACUCUCCACCAUUCUGUUUGAACAGAUGUGUUAGGGGUACAGAGACGUGCUCACCUCUUCGCAGCUAGGAACUUUGUUGUCGUUAUCUCUGAUUCUGUCCCACAGUAUGGACUCCUGUUUCCAGGCCAUGCUUUCCAAGAUCUGUUCUUCAAUAUGAUUAAGGUGUUUUACAACUUCCCGACAAAGGCCAUCUUCUGCUCUAAUGAAAACCUCAAUUACCUGUAAUGCAGAGAGCAAUGAAGUCCUUGUGGUACUGAAUAAACCAGUGACUGAGUAUAAUAUUCUUGUUUUCAUAUAUUUCUUCUUACAGUGAAAUUAGAUCCUAAAUGUUCAAGGAAGAGACUAGUACAAUUAUUAGACUGUGUCAGUAUGGUUCAAUUGUCUGGUGGGCUGCAAGUUUAUCUGAAGACAGGUACGUGUAUCUUGCCACAGCAGCAGUGAAUGCAGAACAGCUGCAGCAGCAGCUCAGGAUCCCUGGUCACUAGCUCAAGAUAAAUGACAAUCCUUAGUCACUUGCACACUGCUCCUAUGUGAAACUGAUUACCAGUAGUCUGAUCUUUAAACGCCCAAACCAGCUGUAAAAUACUUUCAAGACAAAAAGGGGCAAUGCUAAGAAUGAAGAGUUAAUACACAUUUAGGUAAGGAGAUUAUUUAAUAUAAGCCAAGAGUACACAGGACUUGAUAAACAUUUCUAGCUCUUACUUUACCUUAUAGAAGUGAUAAACUGGAAUGUCAAAUAUUUCAGUGAUGAAGGGAAAGCUUCCAGGUAACUUGUACGUGAAGGUGACAAUCUCAAGGCAGCACGCCAGCAGGGAGCGAUGAAACACAUCUUGCUCCAGUACUGCCUGCAAGAGAGUUGCCCAAUUUAAUGCUUCAUUUACAGUGUAACAAUAGAACUGCAUGAUGCUUUCUGUUCUGCCUCAACAGUGAGAUUAGAAGGUUUUUAACUAGACAUUUGCUUUUGUACAUGAUAGGACAGAAUCCAAAUUAAGACAUCCUUAUUCUUUGUAAAUUUUAUAUAUCCUUUUUGUUCGCAAAGGUGAAUAAUUUCUUGGACAGCUUUUCUUCCAUUCAGGAAUGCCUUCCGACUACUCAAGAGAUUUACUCAUCUAAAAUAGCAUUAUCCUGUCCUAUAAAUAUUUUCUUUGUUGCAGAUCCAACUUUAAACACAAGGUGCAAUUGGAGGAGUUGUCCUUACAGAUAAGUCUGCAUCUCCCAGUCUCCUCCUCUCUUGCUCAAUGACCAACUCCAAAACCUUGUAGUAGAGUACCUCAGCACGACGAAAAUGCUUGCUGGCCACAUCUGCAGGAAUUUUCAACAGAAAUAAUAUUGUGAAUUGUGAUAAAAGAAUCAUUAUUUAUCUUAAUCUACAGAGUUAAAACAACAGCUUAUUGCAUGGAUUUCUGUGCAGCUGUGGCUACGCUGCUUUCAGGACUAAAUGGGACUCAUGUUCAAGGGUUAAUGUUAGCCAUGGAAUCUCUCUACUGCACUGAAACGUGAUUGCAGAGCACAGCAGCUUCGUACUGAACUCAGAACUUGGUAAAAAAAACACCAUGUGUAAGAACAACCCUUAUUACUGCUAAAAUAAAAAGUAUUUCAAGAUCAGAAAAUACAGUGUUUGGAAAAACCUCUGUGGGGAUCCAAGCACUCUGCAAGACAAAGUGAACAACUGUGUUGAUGAGCACAGAUACAAAGUACAAAGCACCUAUUCUUAAAAAAUUUUAAUUACUUUUUUUGACAGAAAUGCACACUUAGAUUUGAGAGAAGAAAAACAGUUCUGAGAGCUUUUCUUUCCUCCCUUUUGUAGAACAUAAGAAUAUCAAAUUCCAGUAAUUUAUGCCAAGUAUGAUUAUGAAAGUUUAUACAGGGUUGAAAGUUGCUCUAUCUGAAGACUAGCAGGAAAAGACAAGAAAUAGAAAAGACUCUUGUGCAAAAGCACAGUGUCUACAUAAGACAAAGGUUACUUAGAAGAGAUCAGUAUUUUUAAAUGCACAUAAAUUCCAAUUUAUGUAAGUAAAAUGUUUCCCACCUUUGGUCAAAUUACUGAAUUCUUCUUCAGACUGCAUGCUCUGGCAGUAUACUUCACACAUCUCUUUCACUCUGCUUGCAAUAGACUGUGAAGGAUCUCUGGAACAUGCCCUGAAAAUACAAGCUAUUUCAGUGUCCUACUUCUGCUAAGACAAAUACACACACAAAAGAAACCAACAACAAAAAGACCUACAAUACAAUUAAAGCAUGAAGCUGUGAAAUAUCUUUGAUAGAUAGCAACGCAAACACACCCACACAAGCCUUGCUGCACAUGCACUACAAGACAGCUACAGCAUAUUAUACUUUAGUGAGUGUCAACUCUUCUUAAGAGUUUAAUACUAAACACAUUCCAUGCAAUAUAACAAGUGCUUUGUAACAUACUGUACCUGAGCCAAAGACUUAUGUACACGGAGAAAAAGAAAUUAUUUUUGAUCUCCUACAGAAUAGAGUGAGUUGCCAGGUAGUGAAGCUGGCUAAUUAGUAAGAAACAUCUUGAAACAGUUGCAUUUGCAUUUUGCUGUUAGGGAAGCUCAGAAUGUUGGGUUGAGAACGCUGUGUGUUCUUACAGCUGUCAAUCUCUCAAGGAUUGUGUAGAAAUAAAGACAAGAGUCUCUGAA